AUUGAACGCUGGCGGCAUGCUUUACACAUGCAAGUCGAACGGCAGCGCGGGCUUCGGCCUGGCGGCGAGUGGCGAACGGGUGAGUAAUGCAUCGGAACGUGCCCAGUAGUGGGGGAUAGCCCGGCGAAAGCCGGAUUAAUACCGCAUACGACUUGAGGGUGAAAGCGGGGGACCGAAAGGCCUCGGGCUAUUGGAGGGGCCGAUGUCGGAUUAGCUAGUUGGUGGGGUAAAGGCUUACCAAGGCGACGAUCCGUAGCUGGUCUGAGAGGACGACCAGCCACACUGGGACUGAGACACGGCCCAGACUCCUACGGGAGGCAGCAGUGGGGAAUUUUGGACAAUGGGGGCAACCCUGAUCCAGCCAUGCCGCGUGCGGGAAGAAGGCCUUCGGGUUGUAAACCGCUUUUGUUCGGGAAGAAAUCCUCUGGGCUAAUACCCCGGGGGGAUGACGGUACCGGAAGAAUAAGCACCGGCUAACUACGUG
This 484-nucleotide ribosomal RNA is filed under the name uncultured bacterium. RNAcentral describes it as "partial 16S ribosomal RNA". It matches the Rfam family "Bacterial small subunit ribosomal RNA", at positions 28 to 507 of the family's 1533-position model. The record is from RNAcentral.